GCCUGUGUGGCUCAGUGGAUAGAGCAUCGGCCUGGGGACCAAAGGGUCCUGGGUUCGAUUCCUGUCAAGGGCA
Molecule: non-coding RNA, 73 nt
Organism: Myotis davidii
Lineage: Eukaryota; Metazoa; Chordata; Mammalia; Chiroptera; Vespertilionidae
Source: Rfam